GAUUGGUUUGUUAUGUGACUUCNCCUUGUGCUCUUUGGGGUAUGAGGUGGACAUGCGGUGAGCACCGUGUUCUUAACAUGCCAAAUGCAUUGGUGUUUGGUUGUUGUGGCCUAUGGUGUCUUUGCUUGUUCUCUCGGAUGCGGAAAGUUAAGUGUGGGUGUGAGGUCUCGACCUUGAAUCGUCCUAGCACUGUCU
Molecule: unclassified non-coding RNA, 195 nt
Filed under: Melicope ponapensis
Lineage: Eukaryota; Viridiplantae; Streptophyta; Magnoliopsida; Sapindales; Rutaceae
Description: contains 5' external transcribed spacer, ETS
Source: RNAcentral